GUUAUCGUUUAUUUGAUAGUACCUUACUACUUGGAUAACCGUGGUAAUUCUAGAGCUAAUACAUGCUGAAAACCCCAACUUCGGGAGGGGUGUAUUUAUUAGAUAAAAAACCAACGCCCUUCGGGGCUUCUUGGUGAUUCAUGAUAACUUAACGGAUCGCAUGGCCUUGCGCCGGCGACGGUUCAUUCAAAUUUCUGCCCUAUCAACUUUCGAUGGUAAGGUAUUGGCUUACCAUGGUUUCAACGGGUAACGGGGAAUUAGGGUUCGAUUCCGGAGAGGGAGCCUGAGAAACGGCUACCACAUCCAAGGAAGGCAGCAGGCGCGCAAAUUAUCCAAUCCCGACACGGGGAGAUAGUGACAAUAAAUACUGAUACAGGGCUCUUUUGGGUCUUGUAAUUGGAAUGAGUACAAUUUAAACCUCUUAACGAGGAACAAUUGGAGGGCAAGUCUGGUGCCAGCAGCCGCGGUAAUUCCAGCUCCAAUAGCGUAUAUUAAAGUUGUUGCAGUUAAAAAGCUCGUAGUUGAACCUUGG
This 532-nucleotide ribosomal RNA is filed under the name uncultured fungus. RNAcentral describes it as "SSU rRNA". It matches the Rfam family "Eukaryotic small subunit ribosomal RNA", at positions 109 to 644 of the family's 1831-position model. The record is from RNAcentral. Lineage: Eukaryota; Fungi.